GACGAACGCUGGCGGCGUGCUUAACACAUGCAAGUCGAACGGGGUCCAUGAGAGCUUGCUCUCGGAAGACCUAGUGGCGAACGGGUGAGUAACACGUGAGAAACCUGCCUCGGAGUGGGGAAUAACUCGAGGAAACUCGAGCUAAUACCGCAUACCUUCAUUUGACCGCAUGGUCAGUUGAAGAAAGAUUUAUCGCUCUGAGAGGGUCUCGCGGCCUAUCAGCUUGUUGGUGGGGUAACGGCCUACCAAGGCAACGACGGGUAGCUGGAUUGAGAGAUCGACCAGCCACACUGGAACUGAGACACGGUCCAGACUCCUACGGGAGGCAGCAGUGGGGAAUAUUGGUCAAUGGGCGAAAGCCUGAACCAGCCAUGUCGCGUGAAGGAUGAAGGUCCUAUGGAUUGUAAACUUCUUUUGCAGGAGGGUAAAGUGAGCUACGUGUAGUUCAUUGCAAGUACCCUGCGAAUAAGCAUCGGCUAACUCCGUGCC
This 489-nucleotide ribosomal RNA is filed under the name uncultured bacterium. RNAcentral describes it as "bacterial SSU rRNA". It matches the Rfam family "Bacterial small subunit ribosomal RNA", at positions 28 to 509 of the family's 1533-position model. The record is from RNAcentral.